AAUCUUGCGCAAUGGCCUAACGGCUGACGCAGCGACGCCGCGUGUGGGAUGAAGCUCCUCGGAGUGUAAACCACUGUUGCCCGGGACGAAUAGCUCGAUUAAUCGAGCCUGACGGUACCGGGUGAGGAAGCACCGGCUAACUCCGUGCCAGCAGCCGCGGUAAUACGGGGGGUGCGAGCGUUGUCCGGAAUCACUGGGCGUAAAGGGCGCGUAGGUGGUUUGAUAAGGGUGUGGUGAAAGUCCGGGGCUCAACCCCGGAUCUGCCGUGCCGACUGUCAAACUCGAGGACUGUAGAGGCAGACGGAAUUCCGGGUGUAGCGGUGGAAUGCGUAGAGAUCCGGAGGAAGACCGGUGGCGAAGGCGGUCUGCUGGGCAGUUUCUGACACUGAGGCGCGACAGCGUGGGGAGCAA
Molecule: ribosomal RNA, 411 nt
Filed under: uncultured Gemmatimonadota bacterium
Lineage: Bacteria; Pseudomonadati; Gemmatimonadota
Description: bacterial SSU rRNA
Rfam family: Bacterial small subunit ribosomal RNA
Source: RNAcentral